GAUCAUUACUGAGUGAGGGCCCUCUGGGUCCAACCUCCCACCCGUGUUUAUUGUACCUUGUUGCUUCGGUGCGCCCGCCUCACGGCCGCCGGGGGGCUUCUGCCCCCGGGUCCGCGCGCACCGGAGACACUAUUGAACUCUGUCUGAAGAUUGCAGUCUGAGCAUAAACUAAAUAAGUUAAAACUUUCAACAACGGAUCUCUUGGUUCCGGCAUCGAUGAAGAACGCAGCGAAAUGCGAUAACUAAUGUGAAUUGCAGAAUUCAGUGAAUCAUCGAGUCUUUGAACGCACAUUGCGCCCCCUGGUAUUCCGGGGGGCAUGCCUGUCCGAGCGUCAUUGCUGCCCUCAAGCACGGCUUGUGUGUUGGGCUCCGUCCCCCCGGGGACGGGUCCGAAAGGCAGCGGCGGCACCGAGUCCGGUCCUCGAGCGUAUGGGGCUUUGUCACCCGCUCUGUAGGCCCGGCCGGCGCCAGCCGACAACCAAUCAUCCUUUUUUCAGGUUGACCUCGGAUGAGGUAGGGAUACCCGCUGAACUUAAGCAUAUCAAUAAGCGGGAGGA
Molecule: ribosomal RNA, 557 nt
Filed under: Penicillium glabrum
Lineage: Eukaryota; Fungi; Ascomycota; Eurotiomycetes; Eurotiales; Aspergillaceae
Description: eukaryotic LSU rRNA
Rfam family: 5.8S ribosomal RNA (bases 182-335)
Source: RNAcentral